AUACUUACCUAGCAGGGGAGAUACCAUGACACGAAGGUGGUUUCUCUAGGGUGAGGCUUAUCCAUUGCACUCCAGAUGUGCUGAUCCCUGCGAUUUCCCUAAAGUUGAGCUUCCCAGCUCAACUGCAUAAUUUGUGGUAGUGGGGGAAUGCAUUUG
Suncus etruscus (white-toothed pygmy shrew) is the source of this 156-nucleotide small nuclear RNA. RefSeq annotates it as U1 spliceosomal RNA. The record is from RefSeq and is a predicted model, not a curated record. NCBI's taxonomy places the organism in Eukaryota, Metazoa, Chordata, Mammalia, Eulipotyphla, Soricidae. The transcript has a single exon.